GACGAACGCUGGCGGCGUGCUUAAUACAUGCAAGUCGAACGGAAAGGCCCUGCUUUUGUGGGGUGCUCGAGUGGCGAACGGGUGAGUAACACGUGAGUAACCUGCCCUUGACUUUGGGAUAACUUCAGGAAACUGGGGCUAAUACCGGAUAGGAUCUCCUGCUGCAUGGUGGGGGUUGGAAAGUUUCGGCGGUUGGGGAUGGACUCGCGGCUUAGCAGCUUGUUGGUGGGGUAGUGGCUUACCAAGGCUUUGACGGGUAGCCGGCCUGGGAGGGUGACCGGCCACAUGGGGACUGCGAGACGGCCCAGACUCCUACGGGCGGCAGCAGUGGGGAAUAUUACACAAUGGGCGGAAGCCUGAUGCAGCAACCCCGCGUGCGGGAUGAUGGCCUUCGGGUUGUAAACCGCUUUCGCCGGUGACGAAGCGUGAGUGACGGUAAUGGGUAAAGAAGCACCGGCUAACUACGUG
RNAcentral lists this ribosomal RNA (468 nucleotides) under uncultured bacterium. RNAcentral describes it as "partial 16S ribosomal RNA". It matches the Rfam family "Bacterial small subunit ribosomal RNA", at positions 28 to 507 of the family's 1533-position model. The record is from RNAcentral.